GAAAGAGAGCUGAGUGUG
RNAcentral lists this microRNA (18 nucleotides) under Homo sapiens (human). RNAcentral's name for it is "hsa-miR-4311". Lineage: Eukaryota; Metazoa; Chordata; Mammalia; Primates; Hominidae. The record is from miRBase by way of RNAcentral.